This 253-nucleotide ribosomal RNA is filed under the name uncultured bacterium. RNAcentral's name for it is "partial 16S ribosomal RNA". It matches the Rfam family "Bacterial small subunit ribosomal RNA", at positions 524 to 776 of the family's 1533-position model. The record is from RNAcentral.
UACAGAGGGGGCAAGCGUUGUUCGGAAUUACUGGGCGUAAAGGGCGCGUAGGCGGCCUUCUAAGUCGGACGUGAAAUCCCCGGGCUCAACCCGGGAACUGCGUCCGAUACUGGAAGGCUUGAAUCCGGCAGAGGGGGAUGGAAUUCCGCGUGUAGCAGUGAAAUGCGUAGAUAUGCGGAGGAACACCGAUGGCGAAGGCAAUCCCCUGGGCCUGCACUGACGCUCAUGCACGAAAGCGUGGGGAGCAAACAGG